RNAcentral lists this ribosomal RNA (391 nucleotides) under uncultured bacterium. Its description in RNAcentral is "bacterial SSU rRNA". It matches the Rfam family "Bacterial small subunit ribosomal RNA", at positions 29 to 408 of the family's 1533-position model. The record is from RNAcentral.
AUCAACGCUGGCGGCGUGCCUAACACAUGCAAGUCGAACGCGAAAGGGGCUUCGGCCCUGAUUGAGUGGCGAACGGGUGAGUAACGCGUGGGUGAUCUACCUUUGAGUGGGGGAUAACGUUCCGAAGGGACGCUAAUACCGCAUGACGUUCCGGGUUUGAAGACCUGGAAACCAAAGCCGGGGACCGCAAGGCCUGGCGCUUAGAGAGGAGCCCGCGUCCGAUUAGCUAGUUGGCGGGGUAAUGGCCCACCCAAGGCGACGAUCGGUAGCCGGCCUGAGAGGGCGGACGGCCACACUGGGACUGAGACACGGCCCAGACUCCUACGGGAGGCAGCAGUGGGGAAUUGUUCACAAUGGGCGCAAGCCUGAUGACGCAACGCCGCGUGGGGGA